GUCGAGUGCCGGCACGCCGGCAGCGGGAGACCCAAUUUUCAGGGGUGAAUUCACAGAUGUGAUAGAGAACCUUCUUUCUCGAACCCGUCAGCUAAUUCCGUAGACAUGGAA
This 111-nucleotide small RNA is filed under the name uncultured Lachnoclostridium sp. RNAcentral's name for it is "ydaO/yuaA leader". It matches the Rfam family "c-di-AMP riboswitch aptamer (ydaO/yuaA leader)", at positions 12 to 118 of the family's 134-position model. Rfam says of the family: This family represents a conserved RNA structure found upstream of the ydaO and yuaA genes in Bacillus subtilis and related genes in other bacteria. The record is from RNAcentral. Lineage: Bacteria; Bacillati; Bacillota; Clostridia; Lachnospirales; Lachnospiraceae.